RNAcentral lists this transfer RNA (74 nucleotides) under Actinomycetota bacterium. RNAcentral's name for it is "tRNA-Leu". It matches the Rfam family "tRNA". From Rfam's summary of the family: Transfer RNA (tRNA) molecules are approximately 80 nucleotides in length. Lineage: Bacteria; Bacillati; Actinomycetota. The record is from RNAcentral.
GCUCUCGUAGCCCAAUUGGCAGAGGCGCCAGAUUUAGGAUCUGGUCAGUGCGAGUUCGAAUCCCGCCGAGAGCA